Molecule: ribosomal RNA, 253 nt
Filed under: uncultured bacterium
Lineage: Bacteria
Description: partial 16S ribosomal RNA
Rfam family: Bacterial small subunit ribosomal RNA
Source: RNAcentral
UACGUAGGGGGCAAGCGUUGUCCGGAAUCAUUGGGCGUAAAGCGCGUGUAGGCGGUUCGGUAAGUCUGCUGUGAAAGUCCAGGGCUCAACCCUGGGAUGCCGGUGGAUACUGUCGGGCUAGAGUGCGGAAGAGGCGAGUGGAAUUCCCGGUGUAGCGGUGAAAUGCGCAGAUAUCGGGAGGAACACCAAUUGCGAAGGCAGCUCGCUGGGACGCCACUGACGCUGAGACGCGAAAGCGUGGGGAGCAAACAGG